RNAcentral lists this ribosomal RNA (278 nucleotides) under uncultured Alphaproteobacteria bacterium. Its description in RNAcentral is "partial 16S ribosomal RNA". It matches the Rfam family "Bacterial small subunit ribosomal RNA", at positions 9 to 317 of the family's 1533-position model. The record is from RNAcentral. Lineage: Bacteria; Pseudomonadati; Pseudomonadota; Alphaproteobacteria.
GAGUUUGAUCUUGGCUCAGAACGAACGCUGGCGGCAGGCUUAACACAUGCAAGUCGAGCGCCCCUCACGGGGAGGCGGCAGACGGGUGAGUAACGCGUGGGAACGUACCCUUUUCUACGGAAUAACCCAGGGAAACUUGGACUAAUACCGUAUGUGCCCUUCGGGGAAAGGAUUUAUCGAAAGGAUCGGCCCGCGUUGGAUUAGCUAGUUGGUGGGGUAAAGGACCUACCAAGGCGACGAUCCAUAGCUGGUCUGAGAGGAUGAUCAGCCACAUUGGG